UGCCAGCAGCCGCGGUAAUACAGAAGCCUCAAGCGUUACCCGGAUUUACUGGGCGUAAAGGGUGUGUAGGCGGUGUGAUUAGUCUUUCGUUAAAACUCUGGGCUCAACCCAGAGAUCGCGGAGGAAACGGUCAUACUAGAGAAUGUGAGGGGUCUAGGGAACUCUCGGUGUAGGGGUGAAAUCCGUUGAUAUCGAGGGGAACACCAAAAGCGAAGGCACUAGACUGGCACAUUUCUGACGCUCAGACACGAAAGCGUGGGUAGCGAACGGGAUUAGAUA
This 279-nucleotide ribosomal RNA is filed under the name uncultured bacterium. Its description in RNAcentral is "partial 16S ribosomal RNA". It matches the Rfam family "Bacterial small subunit ribosomal RNA", at positions 506 to 784 of the family's 1533-position model. The record is from RNAcentral.